UAUAAUCCUUCAUAACCGCUUCCACCAUUGUCGAAGAAAUUAUAUUUGAUUUAUGAUUCUUAUUCCCCCAAAUCAUUAACUUUAUUCUCUCUUUCGAUUAUUUGUCGUCUCAGGAUAUAAUUCUUUCUAGGGUUUUUUCUUAUAUUUUGUUUACGUUUGUGUACUUAUAUUUCUACAUUGUAGAUGUCGAGGAGCGAAGGCGAUGAUGAACAUAAUCCUAGGUACGUGUGAUUUGAUUCCCAACUUCCAAACCCCGCAUACCCAACGCUUUCUCGCAAAUGGGGUUUUGUCAGCUUAUUUAUGUUCAAGAUCGAUUUUGCUGCUAAAUUUGACUAUUGAAUAAGGUAAUUCAUUAUUACCAUUUUCUAUAUUUUUGCUAAUAUUUUUGAAUUCCUGAUCAUGUUUUGUGUUGCUUGUUUUUAGUAUAAGCUUAAAGGGAAGGCUGAUUGUAUUAUGCUCUUUUGACUACCCGGUGAUAUAGGAAAAAUAACUUUUCAACCGGUCAUAUUUCAACCCUUGGAAUUGUUAUUUUUCUAUAUUCUGCUUUAGGUGAUUAGGCACAAAGGAGAUGAAUUAGGCGCAUGGGAAUUAUUUGACCAUGGCUUUUUGCAACUCAUGUGAUUUUUUUUUUGUAGAUGUUACAAUUCAUGUAUAUUUUUAUUGACUUUACUAAGAACAUCAAUUUUUUAAUUUUUUUUAACCAUGUAGUAGUUCUCGCAAAUCUGCUUUUCAGGUCCGUCCAUGAUAUCUUGUUGGAGUUGGAGAAAUGAAUGAUGAACCUCUGAGCACUAACAUUUUUUAACUUAUCACGAUGUCCAAGCUUUGGGGUGUUGAGUUAAAAGGUCAAAGCUGGUGGAUUUGAUUAUCAAGGUUUAUGUUUCUGGUAUGAACCAAAGAAGUUUUAUUUCAUUUUGUGGCUUUGGUGGAUCUCUUUUUUGAGUAUCAAAAUGGAAGUAACUUUUGAUCCUUUUUUAGAUAAUAUAAUUGAUUUCUCCAUUCUAUGUGAAUUAAUUACAUGCCUUUUAAUGAUUAUUUUAUUUAUUUGUAGACA
Molecule: non-coding RNA, 1051 nt
Organism: Lactuca sativa (garden lettuce)
Lineage: Eukaryota; Viridiplantae; Streptophyta; Magnoliopsida; Asterales; Asteraceae
Source: RefSeq, a predicted model, not a curated record